This 930-nucleotide long non-coding RNA is filed under the name Heterocephalus glaber (naked mole-rat). RNAcentral's name for it is "lncRNA (ENSHGLG00000041935.1)". The record is from RNAcentral. Lineage: Eukaryota; Metazoa; Chordata; Mammalia; Rodentia; Bathyergidae.
AUUGGCUUUCCAUGGCAUAAGGACUCUGGCAUUGCUGCUAAACUCUGCAUUGUAACACAUAAGCAGACACAGAUGAUAUGUAAAUGAGGAGGCGUGACUGUGUCCAUUAAAGCCUGGUAAAGACUAAUUGCUCUCUCUUCUUAACCUUCACUACUAGUCAAAACACAGGGCCCUCAUACAUGCUUCUACGGCAGUCUUAAUCCAUGCUUCAUUCUCCAAGAUUUGCCUCAUACUUCUGCCACGCUUAUGCCAACACAUCAACUGCGCUUUAUGGAGCUUCCAGCUCACUGCAUCUGUGGCCCUCACUUCUCUGCCAGACUCCAUGUCCCGAAGGCUGACCUUGCAGAGUGCACCACCUGGGCUACCUGUUCAGUUCAACCAACAAGAAUUGUCCUCUUCCACUGCCUCAAUGCUAAGGAUCCAACUGUGGCUUCUCCUUUUAUAACAACUCCUGAUAGACUCUUACCAUAACACCAGCUCUCCCUAAGAUCCAAAAACAUGAUUGCCUCCCCUGUUCCUUUAGGCCUAACAGUAAUAUCAUCUUCUUCUUACAGCCAUACGUGGGUGCCGUAGGAUCCCUUGCUGAUGUGAUCCAUUCAUAGUUCUAUAUAAGGUGCCUUCAUUCAAUUCUCAUCAGAGCCUAAUGUGACUGUGCAUUUUCAUCUUGCCAGGCCCCUGAGUGAUAUAACAAAUACUUAUAACAGACGGAAAUGGUGGAGGACAAGGGACCCCACUUCAGAGCCCCUACCAUAGGCCAAGCAGACAGCCAAGUAAUUUUAUGGUUGAUAAUAAAUGUCAAUCACUCUGAAGAAAGGGGUGUGAGGCAGGGUAAGACAAAGCGGGUGUCACAGGAAUUUGAGACAUAGGUUUCAGAUCCUUGCCAUUAGGUACUCCUAUUUCCCCAACUCAGAAUUUGAUAAAAGAAGGAGA